RNAcentral lists this ribosomal RNA (1465 nucleotides) under Serratia sp. enrichment culture clone HSL41. RNAcentral describes it as "bacterial SSU rRNA". It matches the Rfam family "Bacterial small subunit ribosomal RNA". Lineage: Bacteria; Pseudomonadati; Pseudomonadota; Gammaproteobacteria; Enterobacterales; Yersiniaceae. The record is from RNAcentral.
GGAGGGAGCUAAAUGCAGUCGAGCGGUACAAAGGGAGCUUGCUCUCUGGGUGACGAGCGGCGGACGGGUGAGUAAUGUCUGGGAAACUGCCUGAUGGAGGGGGAUAACUACUGGAAACGGUAGCUAAUACCGCAUAACGUCGCAAGACCAAAGAGGGGGACCUUCGGGCCUCUUGCCAUCAGAUGUGCCCAGAUGGGAUUAGCUAGUAGGUGGGGUAAUGGCUCACCUAGGCGACGAUCCCUAGCUGGUCUGAGAGGAUGACCAGCCACACUGGAACUGAGACACGGUCCAGACUCCUACGGGAGGCAGCAGUGGGGAAUAUUGCACAAUGGGCGCAAGCCUGAUGCAGCCAUGCCGCGUGUGUGAAGAAGGCCUUCGGGUUGUAAAGCACUUUCAGCGAGGAGGAAGGUGGUGAACUUAAUACGUUCAUCAAUUGACGUUACUCGCAGAAGAAGCACCGGCUAACUCCGUGCCAGCAGCCGCGGUAAUACGGAGGGUGCAAGCGUUAAUCGGAAUUACUGGGCGUAAAGCGCACGCAGGCGGUUUGUUAAGUCAGAUGUGAAAUCCCCGGGCUCAACCUGGGAACUGCAUUUGAAACUGGCAAGCUAGAGUCUCGUAGAGGGGGGUAGAAUUCCAGGUGUAGCGGUGAAAUGCGUAGAGAUCUGGAGGAAUACCGGUGGCGAAGGCGGCCCCCUGGACGAAGACUGACGCUCAGGUGCGAAAGCGUGGGGAGCAAACAGGAAUAGAUACCCUGGUAGUCCACGCUGUNAACGAUGUCGAUUUGGAAGGUGUGCCCUUUGAGCGUGGCUUCCGGAGCUAACGCGUUUAAUCGACCGCCUGGGGAGUACGGCCGCAAGGUUAAAACUCAAAUGAAUUGACGGGGGCCCGCACAAGCGGUGGAGCAUGUGGUUUAAUUCGAUGCAACGCGAAGAACCUUACCUACUCUUGACAUCCAGAGAACUUUCCAGAGAUGGAUUGGUGCCUUCGGGAACUCUGAGACAGGUGCUGCAUGGCUGUCGUCAGCUCGUGUUGUGAAAUGUUGGGUUAAGUCCCGCAACGAGCGCAACCCUUAUCCUUUGUUGCCAGCGGUUCGGCCGGGAACUCAAAGGAGACUGCCAGUGAUAAACUGGAGGAAGGUGGGGAUGACGUCAAGUCAUCAUGGCCCUUACGAGUAGGGCUACACACGUGCUACAAUGGCAUAUACAAAGAGAAGCGACCUCGCGAGAGCAAGCGGACCUCAUAAAGUAUGUCGUAGUCCGGAUUGGAGUCUGCAACUCGACUCCAUGAAGUCGGAAUCGCUAGUAAUCGUAGAUCAGAAUGCUACGGUGAAUACGUUCCCGGGCCUUGUACACACACGCCCGUCACACCAUGGGAGUGGGUUGCAAAAGAAGUAGGUAGCUUAACCUUCGGGAGGGCGCUUACCACUUUGGAUUCAUGCCGGGGGAAGUCGAUCAAGACUCAGCCC